GGUGAGAUGGCCGAGCGGUCUAAGGCGCCAGAUUAAGGUAGUUUGAGCAUUGAGCUUGAGUACCUUCUGGUCAGAAAUGGCGUGGGUUCGAAUCCCACUCUCAUCA
Non-coding RNA from Tulasnella sp. UAMH 9824, 106 nucleotides. NCBI's taxonomy places the organism in Eukaryota, Fungi, Basidiomycota, Agaricomycetes, Cantharellales, Tulasnellaceae. The record is from the annotation of a GenBank genome assembly.